RNAcentral lists this long non-coding RNA (973 nucleotides) under Arabidopsis lyrata. Its description in RNAcentral is "long non-coding RNA (ALYR_LNC003015)". The record is from RNAcentral. Lineage: Eukaryota; Viridiplantae; Streptophyta; Magnoliopsida; Brassicales; Brassicaceae.
CUUUCGGACAUAGAUCGACAAGCAUAUGAUCUAACUUAUAACAUCGGACUAUGCUGUCCCAGCUACAGCAAUGUAUUUUUAAUCGAACAAUUGCCUUAUCAAAGGACUUUUACUCUCCAUCAUUUAGCAGAGAAAUGAAUUUCCCGGGACAUCAUUGUCCAAGCCUUGAUAUAGGCUGAUCUUAGCAGAAUUUUGAACUUUAUAUCAAGCUGUCCCAGUACAGCAAGACAAUAGAACUAUAGAGACUGGUUUCUCCAAUCUUUUACUUUCCGACAUAGAUCGACAAGCAUAUGAUCUAGCUUAUAACAUCGGACUAUGCUGUCCCAGCUACAGCAAUGUAUUUUUAAUCGGACAAUUGCCUUAUCAAAGGACUUUUACUCUCCAUCAAUUAGCAGAGAAUUGAAUUUCUCAGGACAUCAUUGUCCAAGCCUUGAUAAAGGCUGAUCUUAGCAGAUAUUUGAAAUUUAUAUCAAGCUGUCCCAGUACAGCAAGACAAUAGGACUAUAGAGAUAGUUUUCUCCAAUCCUUUACUUACGGACAUAGAUCGACAAGCAUAUGAUCUAGCUUCUGUUAGUCAACAUCGGACUAUAAUUAGACAAGACUUACGGAUUUCAAUCAAAAUCUUGCUUGCCUUACAAAAUUUGACAAGUCUUACGGAUUUCAAUCAAAAUCUUGCUUGUCUUAAGUAAUUAGACAAGUCUUACGGAUUUCAAUCAAAAUCUUGCUUGUCUUAAAUAAUUAGACAAGUCUUACAGAUUUCAAUCAAAAUCUGCUUGCCUUACAAAACUUAACAAGUCCUACAGAUUUCAAUCAAAAUCUUGCUUGUCUUACAUAAUAAGACAAGUCUUGCAGAUUUCAAUCUCAUCUUGCUUGCCUUAGAUAGGUAACAUCGGGACAAUUUCCCCAAGUUAGAAACCGGACAGACACAAUCAUCUAAUGUGUUGUCCCUUUCUUUUGGGUUUGAAGAAAACAG